GACGAACGCUGGCGGCGUGCUUAACACAUGCAAGUCGAACGCUGAAGCUCAGCUUUUGUUGGGUGGAUUAGUGGCGAACGGGUGAGUAACACGUGAGUAACCUGCCCCCUUCUUUGGGAUAACGCCCGGAAACGGGUGCUAAUACUGGAUAUUCACUUGUCUUCGCAUGGGGGUUGGUGGAAAGGGUUUUUCUGGUGGGGGGUGGGCUCGCGGCCUAUCAGCUUGUUGGUGGGGUGAUGGCCUACCAAGGCUUUGACGGGUAGCCGGCCUGAGAGGGUGACCGGUCACAGUGGGACUGAGAUACGGCCCAGACUCCUACGGGAGGCAGCAGUGGGGAAUAAUGCACAAUGGGCGCAAGCCUGAUGCAGCGACGCCGCGUGAGGGAUGGAGGCCUUCGGGUUGUGAACCUCUUUCGCUCAUGGUCAAGCCGCAACAAUGGUUGUGGUGAGGGUAGUGGGUAAAGAAGCGCCGGCUAACUACGUG
RNAcentral lists this ribosomal RNA (483 nucleotides) under uncultured bacterium. Its description in RNAcentral is "partial 16S ribosomal RNA". It matches the Rfam family "Bacterial small subunit ribosomal RNA", at positions 28 to 507 of the family's 1533-position model. The record is from RNAcentral.